AGCAGCCGCGGUAAUUCCAGCUCCAAUAGCGUGUAUUAAAGUUGUUGCAGUUAAAAAGCUCGUAGUUGAAUUUCGAGAUCGGCUUACUGGUCGUGCUUUUGUACGUACUGGUAAAUCGGUUUCUCCUUUCUGACGAACUUUAAUGCCAUUAAUUUGGUGUUUUAGGGAAUCAGGACUGUUACUUUGAAAAAAUUAGAGUGUUUAAAGCAGGCUCACGCUUGAAUACAUUAGCAUGGAAUAACGGAAUAGGACGUUUGAUUUUAUUUUGUUGGUUUCUAGGAUCGACGUAAUGAUUAAUAGGGAUAGUUGGGGGCAUUAGUAUUCAAUUGUCGGAGGUGAAAUUCUUGGAUUUAUUGAAGACUAACUACUGCGAAAGCAUUUGCCAAGGAUGUUUUCAUUAAUCAAGAACGAAAGUUAGGGGAUCGAAGACGAUCAGAUACCGUCGUAGUCUUAACCAUAAACUAUGCCGACUAGGGAUCGGAUGAUGUUAAUUUUUAAUGACCCAUUCGGCGCCUUACGG
This 520-nucleotide small RNA is filed under the name uncultured Glomus. RNAcentral's name for it is "SSU rRNA". It matches the Rfam family "Eukaryotic small subunit ribosomal RNA", at positions 569 to 1093 of the family's 1831-position model. The record is from RNAcentral. Lineage: Eukaryota; Fungi; Glomeromycota; Glomeromycetes; Glomerales; Glomeraceae.